CUUCCCGCCUACCUUGCAGCUGAGACUCCGGGAUGCACCCCGAGAACGCCCCGUCACGCCCCGUCGGCGAACGGACCCCAGGCGCGCAGAGAGAGAGAGAACAAGCAGGGAGAGCAGCAGAUGGAGAGGGAGAAGCAGACUCCCCGCUGAGCUGGGAGCCGGAUACAGGGCUCCAUCCUAGCACUCUGGGAUCAGGGUCCGAGUACAAGGGAGACACAUAAUGACUGAGCCACCCAGACGCCUCAGCCACCAGGGACCCAGGGCUGGAGAAAUGGCUGAUUCUAGGGCUAGAGCCGAGAAAACACCACACCAGUCUGGAGACACUUCCAGCGGCAGAAAGUACUUAAAACAAGCUGGAAGGACUCGGAAGCCAACCUCAAAGAACUCUCGUUGGCCACAGCUGGAAUAAUUCGAGAACAAAGUGAAUAACCAUAGCAUUGGAUUAUGACCCCAACGAUGAAAUCUAGUCCACACGAGUCCGUACUGAUUAAAAAUACAAGUUCUGGCAGCACAUCUCAAUUCAGCUUUCCAAAUGACCACACCGUCCAGAGAAUGGAGAGGAAGUGUGUUCUCUUCUUCCUGGGUUUUUUCUGCUGGGCAGUUUCUCCUGCCACUGUCCCGCGGGAAUCAUCUUCAAUUCCCAUAUUGGGACACCUGUUUCCUCAAUCUUAAGUCUUCCUUUUUUCUUUUUUUCUUUCUUUCUUUCUUUCUUUCUUUCUUUCUUUCUUUUUUUAUUUGCUCCCUUGUUUUGGUUGAGUGCAUCCUGCAAUAACUUUCUAAGAACAUAAGAGCACGGGAGAUGACAUUUUUUAGUCCCUCUGCGUUUUGAAAUGUCUCUGCCUGCUCCUUGCACUUGGUCGCUAUUUUGGCUGGAAAUAGGGGUCUGGGUUUGAAAUCCUAUUCUGUCAGAAUUUUGAGGCUACAGAUCCAUUGUCUCUUUAUUUCCAGUGUCUUUGAAUUUGCUGCUUGUGCCACCAGGAAUGCACUCCUUUCCUCCUCAUCCUUUUGAUACCACAAUGGCCAUUUCAAGGGUAAACCAGUAGCUCUGGACGGAAAAACCCAGCCAAGUCCAUGACUGCCUUGACCAAUUCUGGCCAUCAAAUGCAGGUGGAAGUGGAGUCACUUCUGUACAUCAGUCACUUCUGAGCCGAGGCAUCGAAAAGCCCACACAUGCUUCUCUGGUCUUCCUGGACGUGUUUGUUCCGGCAGCAAAACUUGACUUAUGCUGGGACGCCUGAGUGGCUCAGUGGGUUAAAGCCUCUGCCUUCCGCUCAGGUCAUGAUCCCAGGGUCCUGGG
Mustela erminea (ermine) is the source of this 1297-nucleotide long non-coding RNA. RefSeq lists it as uncharacterized. The transcript is spliced from 4 exons. The record is from RefSeq and is a predicted model, not a curated record. Lineage: Eukaryota; Metazoa; Chordata; Mammalia; Carnivora; Mustelidae.